GGCGGUAUAGCCAAGUGGUAAGGCAGCGGAUUGCAAAUCCGCCAUCCCCAGUUCAAAUCUGGGUGCCGCCU
This 71-nucleotide transfer RNA is filed under the name Chloroparvula pacifica. Its description in RNAcentral is "tRNA-Cys". It matches the Rfam family "tRNA". Rfam says of the family: Transfer RNA (tRNA) molecules are approximately 80 nucleotides in length. The record is from RNAcentral. RNAcentral also lists the same sequence under 1 other name. Lineage: Eukaryota; Viridiplantae; Chlorophyta; Chloropicophyceae; Chloropicales; Chloropicaceae.